AUGAGAAUGGCGCAGUGACCAUGGACAAGAGAGGAACAGAAGAGUAAGAAAGAAAGUCAUACACAUCUGGGAUGGCAUGGGGCGGGCGAGCAACUCCUCCCUUUCUUUGCGACUGAUGUGAUAAGGGUCUCCAGCCUGGAAGGUCUCUCUCUGUACGGGUUGUCUCCUCAGAUUGAUGUCCCAGCCUUGUCGGGCCCUCUGACGGCCUCCAUCACUC
Molecule: long non-coding RNA, 217 nt
Organism: Xyrauchen texanus (razorback sucker)
Lineage: Eukaryota; Metazoa; Chordata; Actinopteri; Cypriniformes; Catostomidae
Exons: 3
Source: RefSeq, a predicted model, not a curated record